This 1171-nucleotide ribosomal RNA is filed under the name Lacticaseibacillus rhamnosus. Its description in RNAcentral is "bacterial SSU rRNA". It matches the Rfam family "Bacterial small subunit ribosomal RNA", at positions 120 to 1278 of the family's 1533-position model. Lineage: Bacteria; Bacillati; Bacillota; Bacilli; Lactobacillales; Lactobacillaceae. The record is from RNAcentral.
GGUAACCUGCCCUUAAGUGGGGGAUAACAUUUGGAAACAGAUGCUAAUACCGCAUAAAUCCAAAAACCGCAUGGUUCUUGGCUGAAAGAUGGCGUAAGCUAUCGCUUUUGGAUGGACCCGCGGCGUAUUAGCUAGUUGGUGAGGUAACGGCUCACCAAGGCAAUGAUACGUAGCCGAACUGAGAGGUUGAUCGGCCACAUUGGGACUGAGACACGGCCCAAACUCCUACGGGAGGCAGCAGUAGGGAAUCUUCCACAAUGGACGCAAGUCUGAUGGAGCAACGCCGCGUGAGUGAAGAAGGCUUUCGGGUCGUAAAACUCUGUUGUUGGAGAAGAAUGGUCGGCAGAAUAACUGUUGUCGGCGUGACGGUAUCCAACCAGAAAGCCACGGCUAACUACGUGCCAGCAGCCGCGGUAAUACGUAGGUGGCAAGCGUUAUCCGGAUUUAUUGGGCGUAAAGCGAGCGCAGGCGGUUUUUUAAGUCUGAUGUGAAAGCCCUCGGCUUAACCGAGGAAGUGCAUCGGAAACUGGGAAACUUGAGUGCAGAAGAAGACAGUGGAACUCCAUGUGUAGCGGUGAAAUGCGUAGAUAUAUGGAAGAACACCAGUGGCGAAGGCGGCUGUCUGGUCUGUAACUGACGCUGAGGCUCGAAAGCAUGGGUAGCGAACAGGAUUAGAUACCCUGGUAGUCCAUGCCGUAAACGAUGAAUGCUAGGUGUUGGAGGGUUUCCGCCCUUCAGUGCCGCAGCUAACGCAUUAAGCAUUCCGCCUGGGGAGUACGACCGCAAGGUUGAAACUCAAAGGAAUUGACGGGGGCCCGCACAAGCGGUGGAGCAUGUGGUUUAAUUCGAAGCAACGCGAAGAACCUUACCAGGUCUUGACAUCUUUUGAUCACCUGAGAGAUCAGGUUUCCCCUUCGGGGGCAAAAUGACAGGUGGUGCAUGGUUGUCGUCAGCUCGUGUCGUGAGAUGUUGGGUUAAGUCCCGCAACGAGCGCAACCCUUAUGACUAGUUGCCAGCAUUUAGUUGGGCACUCUAGUAAGACUGCCGGUGACAAACCGGAGGAAGGUGGGGAUGACGUCAAAUCAUCAUGCCCCUUAUGACCUGGGCUACACACGUGCUACAAUGGAUGGUACAACGAGUUGCGAGACCGCGAGGUCAAGCUAAUCUCUUA